RNAcentral lists this ribosomal RNA (259 nucleotides) under uncultured prokaryote. RNAcentral describes it as "partial 16S ribosomal RNA". It matches the Rfam family "Bacterial small subunit ribosomal RNA", at positions 524 to 782 of the family's 1533-position model. The record is from RNAcentral.
UACGUAGGGGCGAGCGUUGUCCGGAAUUACUGGGCGUAAAGCGCAUGUAGGCGGCCUGUUAAGUCAGGUGUGAAAACUCGACGGCUCAACCGUGAGAUUGCACAUGAAACUGGCAGGCUUGAGGGCAGGAGAGGAGAGCGGAAUUCCUAGUGUAGCGGUGAAAUGCGUAGAUAUUAGGAGGAACACCAGUUGCGAAGGCGGCUCUCUGGACUGUAACUGACACUGAGGCACGAAAGCGUGGGGAGCAAACAGGAUUAGA